GAGAAGUACAGUUUGUUUGACUCCUUGUCUGGGCAUAGUGAGAGGUAAACCUUGUUUGAAGCCUUGGCUGAGGGUAGUGAGGAGUACAGCUUAUUGGAAGCCUUGUCUGAGGGUAGUGAGGAGUACAGCUUAUUGGAAGCCUUGGCUGAGGGUAGUGAGAAGUUAUUGGAAGCAGGGUAGUGAGGAGUACAGCUUAUUGGAAGCCUUGGCUGAGGGUAGUGAGAAGUACAGCUUAUUGGAAGCCUUGGCUGAGGGUAGUGAGAAGUACAGCUUGGUUAAACCCUUGGCUGGGGGUCG
Non-coding RNA from Pelobates cultripes (western spadefoot toad), 297 nucleotides. The record is from the annotation of a GenBank genome assembly. NCBI's taxonomy places the organism in Eukaryota, Metazoa, Chordata, Amphibia, Anura, Pelobatidae.